RNAcentral lists this long non-coding RNA (3300 nucleotides) under Canis lupus familiaris (dog). RNAcentral describes it as "lncRNA (ENSCAFG00030013487.1)". Lineage: Eukaryota; Metazoa; Chordata; Mammalia; Carnivora; Canidae. The record is from RNAcentral.
AUGGCCUUCCCUGCCCUGGAUACAACCAGCCACAAACACUUCAGGCACACGGAUAGAAGAAGGCAGCCUAUGGAAUCAUGUCAUAAGGAAAGGAUUGCCAUUUCUCAUGGACUCUGGCUCCCUGGAGCUGAAGAGAUUGAGGAUGAGGAUGGAGACACCCGUGAUCUUGAGUUCAAAAUUAGGUCUCAUUUGAUGCUACUUGAUCUCCCUAGAGGUCUCAGCAGCCUUGGGGGCAAAAUUGAAAUCUAUGGAGAUUGCUAGAAGAUCUUCUCCCCAGAACUAAAUGAGAAUCUAAAUUUAUAGUAAUUCUUUAAGAGGAAAAAUAAACCCAAGGGACUUUAUUUAUUUAUUUUUUGGUAUUUUUUUAAUUGGAGUUCCAUUUGCCAGCAUAUAGUGUAAUACCCCGUGCUCAUCCUGUCAAGUGCCCCCCUCAGUGCCUGUCACCCAGUCACCCCAUGCCCCCCACCCACCUCCCCUUCCACUAACCCCCAAGGGGCUUUAAUAUCUCUCUCUCAUUAUAUAUAUUAUAUAAUCAUAAUCACCUUGAAAUUUAAAAAUCUUGAAUAUUUCUUGAAUAUUAAGAAUUAAGAGAACAAAUUAAUACCAAAUAUUAAUUAUUAAUUCUGAAUAUUAAUACUGAAUAUUAAAAAUUCAGUGACCCCAAAUUUAGCUGAUGUUCAUAGCUAACAUGGAGUUCAAACAAAAUAACCAAACCUUAGGGGAAGAAAAGCCCUCCGUAUGAAUGACCUCAGAAUGGUUGCUGAUUCCCUCCUUUUUCCAGAAGAGAAGCCAGAAGUGAUUGAAACUGUAGUCAAACUGUUAACAUUUCAUCAUGAGCUUUGCCUUCCCUGACAUGGGAAAUAUCAUUUAUGAAAAGAUGCCAGUCUCUAAGGAAUGGGAUAGACUGUGAAAUAUUAAGGAUGAUAAGACUAUGUGUGAUAUUAAUUGAAACAUUUUUGAGAUACAUCUCAUCUCAAGAGAAAUAAUUUCUGUCAUUGCUAGAGUUGCAGCUCACUUUUAUUACACUUAUGGAUACACACACACACACACACACACACUAUUUAUUUAAGUGGUGGAAAUGGAAAACUCAGUACCUAGGGUGUUCGAAAGAUGUUUCCAGGGAAAAAUUUAAAUGUCUUAGAUAUUUCUUAGGUAUUUUAGGGAAAAUCAAUCACGUGAUAAAGUGUUUCAUAUUAUAAUAAUAUAAUGGUUGUCAACUUGAAACUACUUCAGUCAGAAAUUAAAUGAUAAAAGUUUUCCAUUGGAAUUUUUCCGUUGCCACAAGGGAUUCCCCAUUUUCUAUUUGUGAAGAGCAGCUCUUUUUGAAAUCUAAAGUCAAAUUCAGAAUAAAACCCUUCUGAGAGUGAACAGUCUAAAUGUUAUUUGGGAUAAAUAUAGUUGUUGUUCUUGUUCAAACAUAAAAUAUUAAAACGUAUGUUUGCCCAAUAUUUCUGGGCUCCUAAAGCUGAGAGUUUUACUCAGACUAUAUAGAUCAUCAUCAUCAUCAAUCAUCAAUCAAUCAAAAUAGAGGGCAGUGAGAAGGCUUUUAUUUUCUGUGUUAUUAACUUUUUCUUUAGCAAAAUUGAGUCUUCUUUGACUAUUUGAAAUUUCUGUUUUGGAAGCGCUCAUUAUUUUAAGCUUAUUUACAGAAUUUUGUUACUUAGCUUCUAGGAAGUUGUUUGCUAUAACUAUUCUUAUUAGAUGAGUGUUUUUUUGUAUCACUGUAAAAGAUAAUUCAUAGAGAAAGCAGUCUGAUAUAUUCUUGGCUUAUGUGUACAUGUAUGUAGUGUGUGCCUAUGUGUGUGUAUAUUGCAUGUGUGGGUAAUUUCCAUGGGCUAAAAACUAGAAGUGGAAAAUUUAACUUUAUUUAUUGCUGAAUCUUGGUUUUAAGAAUUGCAUCAACAUUUUUAUUAUUUGUAUUUAUUAGAAAUUUCAUUUAUUAUCUUGAUUUUUUUUGUCAGUUAAUUUCUUUUUAGUCUUCUCAUAAACCAUGGAUAAUGAUAACCCACUUUUAUCAGAAAUAAAUGAAAAUAAAGGUGAUAAAACUAGUUUCUUACAAAGUUCUCAAGAGAUGCUAGGUAUUAAUUUUGUUUUGGGAAUUUAAAAUCACAUGUUCCACUUGCCCAGCUCUUCUCAGCAGAGAUACAUUGAAUCUCUAAGUGUCAGAUCCCAGGCAGGUACUGGGGUGUGGUGGUGACUUCCUACUUGGAGCUAAUAGUCCAAUGGUAAAUUUGACUUUAAAGAAAUAUGCUAACAAGUAUGUAAUCAUGCCUGGUCAUAAAAGCUGGAGUAGAAGAGUACUUGUUUUUAGGAGAGGAUGCAGUGGAGAUUUAAUUUGGAUUGUAGGCCAGGGAAUGCCUCUUUGAAGAAUUGACAACCCAUUUCAUAUUAGAUUAUAAGGAAAAGCUGGGCAGGUAAAGAUUGGGUUAGUAGGUCUUCUAGUAGAGGGAAUAGAAUAUUCUGUUACUGUCAGGUCGAAAGAAGUCGUGUCCUGAAGAUAUUGAGUGAUGGUCUAUAUUGGCUAUAGGGUAAUGAACUGGGGGUGGGGUGGUGGUAAAUGAUGGAGGGCAGGGGCAGGUAUAGGCUAGACCACAAUAAAGUUUUGGGAUUUAUUUUAAAUUUGGCUGGAGUUGGUGAGUGGUAUUAAUUGAUUUGAUUAAAGAGUGUAAACCCAAAAUAAUAAGCCAUCUCAUUAGCCAUGCCUGUAUCAUCAUAAACAUUUAAAUAAUUCACAAAAAUACACAAAGGAAACCAAAAUUCAUUGUGGAUCCCAUCAUUCAGAGAAGAUUGCUCUUAACGUUUAGGCAAACUUUCUUUCACGCCAUAUGCACACAUGUUUCAGUUUUAUAUUCAGAUAAGCUAUAUUGUUUUUUCCUCCAUUGAUCUUAAUAAUCACUCAACAUAACUGUGGCCAUUUUUCCAUAUCAACAAUAAGGUACAUCAGUAUGCUUGAUGGCUGCUUAGUUGUCUAUUCUGGUGAAUUAUACUAAUUAGCUUAAUCAAUUCCCUAUUGAUUAGUGUUAAUUAUUUCUGAUUUUUUUUUUUUUUUGCUAACAUACUUAUGUGGUAGGGCAAUCCUUAUGCAUCUUCAUGCAUAGAUAUAUUUCAUGUAUGUGAUUACCUCCUCAUUAAGGUAAAUGUUGGAAAGGGAAAUGCUAAAGAAUUGGUACAUUUUAUGUUUUCAUGUAUAUUGCCAGUCAUUUGGAAUUUAGAGAAUCAUGUAAAGAAGAAUCAGAAUUUUUUCCCCUAAAUCAGUAGCCGAUGGUCUUACUCACUGAAAAAAUAGGAUGGGCUUUUAAA